UGAUUCAUGACUGGGGUGAAGUCGUAACAAGGUAGCCGUAGGGGAACCUGCGGCUGGAUCACCUCCUUA
This 69-nucleotide ribosomal RNA is filed under the name Pseudomonas aeruginosa. RNAcentral's name for it is "partial 16S ribosomal RNA". It matches the Rfam family "Bacterial small subunit ribosomal RNA", at positions 1465 to 1533 of the family's 1533-position model. Lineage: Bacteria; Pseudomonadati; Pseudomonadota; Gammaproteobacteria; Pseudomonadales; Pseudomonadaceae. The record is from RNAcentral. RNAcentral also lists the same sequence under 2 other names.